AUGAAUGAACCACCGGGAGCUCGUAUGAGAGUUGGUUUAACUACCCUAACUAUGGUAUAAUAUUUCUGAGAUGUUAAUAACCAAGACGUGCUUUGAUUUAUCGAUAAUAUCUUUCAUUUUGUUCAAGUACGAUCAGAGGUAUCCGCUUUAUUAGGGAGAAUACCCUCCGUAGUGGGUUAUCAACCUACUCUUAGUACAGAAAUGGGUUCGAGUCAACUUUCUUGGGUUGAUCGAGAUGGGGAGAGAGAGACAUAUAGUCCACUUAACUUCCAUAUUAUGUUUCAGAUAGUUUGCUGGCUUAACUUCCAACACGAACAUAGUCUCGUGUCAUCAAAUACAAAUCGCCAGAGAAAGCUAUGCGCAAUGAUCAAUUCCAAGGCAAAUCGAAACACGGUAUGA
RNAcentral lists this ribosomal RNA (399 nucleotides) under Triticum aestivum (bread wheat). Its description in RNAcentral is "partial small subunit ribosomal RNA". The record is from RNAcentral. Lineage: Eukaryota; Viridiplantae; Streptophyta; Magnoliopsida; Poales; Poaceae.